UUUUAUGGAGAGUUUGAUCCUGGCUCAGGAUGAACGCUGGCGGCGUGCCUAAUACAUGCAAGUCGAGCGAACGGACGAGAAGCUUGCUUCUCUGAUGUUAGCGGCGGACGGGUGAGUAACACGUGGAUAACCUACCUAUAAGACUGGGAUAACUUCGGGAAACCGGAGCUAAUACCGGAUAAUAUUUUGAACCGCAUGGUUCAAAAGUAAAAGACGGUCUUGCUGUCACUUAUAGAUGGAUCCGCGCUGCAUUAGCUAGUUGGUAAGGUAACGGCUUACCAAGGCAACGAUGCAUAGCCGACCUGAGAGGGUGAUCGGCCACACUGGAACUGAGACACGGUCCAGACUCCUACGGGAGGCAGCAGUAGGGAAUCUUCCGCAAUGGGCGAAAGCCUGACGGAGCAACGCCGCGUGAGUGAUGAAGGUCUUCGGAUCGUAAAACUCUGUUAUUAGGGAAGAACAUAUGUGUAAGUAACUGUGCACAUCUUGACGGUACCUAAUCAGAAAGCCACGGCUAACUACGUGCCAGCAGCCGCGGUAAUACGUAGGUGGCAAGCGU
Molecule: ribosomal RNA, 559 nt
Filed under: Staphylococcus aureus
Lineage: Bacteria; Bacillati; Bacillota; Bacilli; Caryophanales; Staphylococcaceae
Description: bacterial SSU rRNA
Rfam family: Bacterial small subunit ribosomal RNA
Source: RNAcentral